UGCUGUGAACUCGAAGAGUAGGGCGGGACACGUGGUAUCCUGUCUGAAUAUGGGGGGACCAUCCUCCAAGGCUAAAUACUCCUGACUGACCGAUAGUGAACCAGUACCGUGAGGGAAAGGCGAAAAGAACCCCGGCGAGGGGAGUGAAAAAGAACCUGAAACCGUGUACGUACAAGCAGUGGGAGCCUCUUUAUGGGGUGACUGCGUACCUUUUGUAUAAUGGGUCAGCGACUUAUAUUCUGUAGCAAGGUUAACCGUAUAGGGGAGCCGAAGGGAAACCGAGUCUUAACUGGGCGUUAAGUUGCAGGGUAUAGACCCGAAACCCGGUGAUCUAGCCAUGGGCAGGUUGAAGGUUGGGUAACACUAACUGGAGGACCGAACCGACUAAUGUUGAAAAAUUAGCGGAUGACCUGUGGCUGGGGGUGAAAGGCCAAUCAAACCGGGAGAUAGCUGGUUCUCCCCGAAAGCUAUUUAGGUAGCGCCUCGUGAACUCAUCUUCGGGGGUAGAGCACUGUUUCGGCUAGGGGGCCAUCCCGGCUUACCAACCCGAUGCAAACUACGAAUACCGAAGAAUGUUAUCACGGGAGACACACGGCGGGUGCUAACGUCCGUCGUGAAGAGGGAAACAACCCAGACCGCCAGCUAAGGUCCCAAAGUCAUGGUUAAGUGGGAAACGAUGUGGGAAGGCACAGACAGCCAGGAUGUUGGCUUAGAAGCAGCCAUCAUUUAAAGAAAGCGUAAUAGCUCACUGGUCGAGUCGGCCUGCGCGGAAGAUGUAACGGGGCUAAACCAUGCACCGAAGCUGCGGCAGCGACACUAUGUGUUGUUGGGUAGGGGAGCGUUCUGUAAGCCGUUGAAGGUGUGCUGUGAGGCAUGCUGGAGGUAUCAGAAGUGCGAAUGCUGACAUAAGUAACGAUAAAGCGGGUGAAAAGCCCGCUCGCCGGAAGACCAAGGGUUCCUGUCCAACGUUAAUCGGGGCAGGGUGAGUCGACCCCUAAGGCGAGGCCGAAAGGCGUAGUCGAUGGGAAACAGGUUAAUAUUCCUGUACUUGGUGUUACUGCGAAGGGGGGACGGAGAAGGCUAUGUCAGCCGGGCGACGGUUGUCCCGGUUUAAGCAUGUAGGCGGAGGUUCCAGGUAAAUCCGGUACCUUAUUAACGCUGAGGUGUGAUGACGAGGCACUACGGUGCUGAAGUGAUAAAUGCCCUGCUUCCAGGAAAAGCCUCUAAGCAUCAGGUAACACGAAAUCGUACCCCAAACCGACACAGGUGGUCAGGUAGAGAAUACCAAGGCGCUUGAGAGAACUCGGGUGAAGGAACUAGGCAAAAUGGUGCCGUAACUUCGGGAGAAGGCACGCUGAUGUGUAGGUGAAGCCCCUGCGGGUGGAGCUGAAAUCAGUCGAAGAUACCAGCUGGCUGCAACUGUUUAUUAAAAACACAGCACUGUGCAAACACGAAAGUGGACGUAUACGGUGUGACGCCUGCCCGGUGCCGGAAGGUUAAUUGAUGGGGUUAGCGGCAACGCGAAGCUCUUGAUCGAAGCCCCGGUAAACGGCGGCCGUAACUAUAACGGUCCUAAGGUAGCGAAAUUCCUUGUCGGGUAAGUUCCGACCUGCACGAAUGGCGUAAUGAUGGCCAGGCUGUCUCCACCCGAGACUCAGUGAAAUUGAACUCGCUGUGAAGAUGCAGUGUACCCGCGGCAAGACGGAAAGACCCCGUGAACCUUUACUAUAGCUUGACACUGAACACUGGUCCUUGAUGUGUAGGAUAGGUGGGAGGCUUUGAAGCGUGGACGCCAGUCUGCGUGGAGCC
This 1809-nucleotide ribosomal RNA is filed under the name Enterobacter hormaechei subsp. steigerwaltii. RNAcentral describes it as "bacterial LSU rRNA". It matches the Rfam family "Bacterial large subunit ribosomal RNA", at positions 395 to 2187 of the family's 2925-position model. The record is from RNAcentral. Lineage: Bacteria; Pseudomonadati; Pseudomonadota; Gammaproteobacteria; Enterobacterales; Enterobacteriaceae.